GAGGUUACUUCAGGUCACUGUGGGAGCCACCCGGAUGGGUUGGGCUGCUCACAAAUCUGGCAGGGAUGAGGCACCACAGAGGCAGCAGGGACAGAUUUCGGGUAGCAGACAAGCUGAACACGCGAAGUCACCGCAGUUUAGCCCAGGGAAAUUUUUCUAGGUGCAUUUAGAAUGGACUUCUAGAAAAUUCUCCAGAAAUGUCUAGCGGUAAAUUUUGACCCACACUGGAUAAACGGGAGACACUACUGUAUUAUUUUUAAAAAGAGGAAAAGAAGGGGAAGCAAAGUAGACCGACUUCUUGGUGUUUUCCCUGUCAAAAUACUUAGUGGCAGAAAUUUCAAUUUACCAUUCAUUUUCUAAAGGGAUUGUUGCCUAUUUCCCUGUCCCUUGGCGUGAUUCUUUUUAUCUCAGUGUCCUAGUGUCCUAGACCAUCCUUGCUUCAGAGCACCAGAAAAGAUUUCCCAGGUAUGGGUGUGGGUUAGACUUCUGCAGCCUCGUAGGACAGUUGAGGACAUGAUGGACCUCCUCCCUUCUGCCAACAGCUCAGGCUAGGAUACAGGGUAGGAGGUAAAAAUGCCUUGGGGAAAAUACACAUUUCCAGUUGCUGUGGGGCUUGUUAUUUCUCAACUGAACAAAUUAUUCUAUGCCUAGAAACAAAGAAGCUUUGAGAUACAACAACGGAGCUCUCAUGUCUAACUUCCCAGAAUCCAAAUUCAGGAAAGUAUUCUGGCUCGUUCACUCAGAACCUGUCCUUUGACCCUCAUCCAGAUGUGCAUUAGGGGAGAACAAGAAAACAUUAUCAAGUGAGGGAUGAUUUCAACAUGUGGAUGAAAGGAACUCUGCAAGGAGCUGCAAGGGGGAAAAGGCUUACUGGGCUCAAAGGCACAUUUUCUUCUCACCACGGGGCCUUUGCAUGUCCAUCAGCCACCAGAGAGCAGCAAAUUCUUCAUCUGCAUAUGAUGGAUCUCUCCAGUCCUAGAUACGAGACUGACUCCUCAGAAGAGCACUGAGUAUCCCAGCAUCACUCGGAUAUGACUCUGUAGUGGCAUGGACAGAAAGCUUCUGACCUAAGACACCAUGGCUGAGGUAGAAAAUGGACCUGUGCUCUGUUUAAAGGAAUAAGGCCACUUUUCCAAAGCCGGUUAGGGCCCAUGAAAGACUUUUUAUGUUUAUAUGUGGGAAUCCCAACCUAACCCCAAAACAAUCUACAGCAGAUGUUAUUUAAAAUGAAUUCUAUGUUAAUAAAAUAGUCUCCUAUUUUGGUUUUCA
This is a long non-coding RNA of Mus musculus (house mouse), 1269 nucleotides long. RefSeq annotates it as predicted gene, 32997. NCBI's taxonomy places the organism in Eukaryota, Metazoa, Chordata, Mammalia, Rodentia, Muridae. The transcript is spliced from 3 exons. The record is from RefSeq and is a predicted model, not a curated record.